AAAACCAGGACCCGUCCCACACCGGACUCUUAGAACACGGCCUUCUCUGCUACUUCACAUCUCCAGCUGCUGCUGAGCCAGCUCUUUUGGUGGACAGCUGCCUUGGGAAAGUGCCUGUUUGCACAUCAACAGUAUGGGGACCAGGGACCCUGGGGUCAGCCAUGGCUUCACAUAAAGGAAAGCCUCUUCCUCCUGAGGCUGGCUGAGGACAGGCGCCGUGUUCCACUCAACGUCUGCUAAAGGCAGGCAGCUGGCAGGGGUGCAAGGUUUUGUCCUCAUAAAAAGGCUUCAAUAAACACCCCUAAACCCCUAGGUUUAUGCACACAAAUGCUAAAAUGCCUGCGUGAUACUUUUC
This 355-nucleotide long non-coding RNA is filed under the name Homo sapiens (human). RNAcentral describes it as "HSALNT0083269". The record is from RNAcentral. Lineage: Eukaryota; Metazoa; Chordata; Mammalia; Primates; Hominidae.